GACCUACGGGAGGCAGCAGUGGGGGAUAUUGCACAAUGGGGGGAACCCUGAUGCAGCGACGCCGCGUGGGGGAAGAAGCGCCUCGGCGCGUAAAGCCCUUUCAGCAGGGAAGAAAAUGACGGUACCUGAAGAAGAAGCCCCGGCUAACUACGUGCCAGCAGCCGCGGUAAUACGUAGGUGGCAAGCGUUGUCCGGAUUUACUGGGGGUAAAGGGCGUGUAGCCGGGCCGGCAAGUCAGAUGUGAAAUCCCAAGGCACAACCUAG
Molecule: ribosomal RNA, 264 nt
Filed under: uncultured bacterium
Lineage: Bacteria
Description: partial 16S ribosomal RNA
Rfam family: Bacterial small subunit ribosomal RNA
Source: RNAcentral